Molecule: ribosomal RNA, 406 nt
Filed under: Ochrobactrum sp. 23A/997/2015
Lineage: Bacteria; Pseudomonadati; Pseudomonadota; Alphaproteobacteria; Hyphomicrobiales; Brucellaceae
Description: bacterial SSU rRNA
Rfam family: Bacterial small subunit ribosomal RNA
Source: RNAcentral
CUCUAAGGGGACUGCCGGUGAUAAGCCGAGAGGAAGGUGGGGAUGACGUCAAGUCCUCAUGGCCCUUACGGGCUGGGCUACACACGUGCUACAAUGGUGGUGACAGUGGGCAGCGAGCACGCGAGUGUGAGCUAAUCUCCAAAAGCCAUCUCAGUUCGGAUUGCACUCUGCAACUCGAGUGCAUGAAGUUGGAAUCGCUAGUAAUCGCGGAUCAGCAUGCCGCGGUGAAUACGUUCCCGGGCCUUGUACACACCGCCCGUCACACCAUGGGAGUUGGUUUUACCCGAAGGCGCUGUGCUAACCGCAAGGAGGCAGGCGACCACGGUAGGGUCAGCGACUGGGGUGAAGUCGUAACAAGGUAGCCGUAGGGGAACCUGCGGCUGGAUCACCUCCUUUCUAAGGAAGC